Molecule: non-coding RNA, 83 nt
Organism: Gammaproteobacteria bacterium GWF2_41_13
Lineage: Bacteria; Pseudomonadati; Pseudomonadota; Gammaproteobacteria
Source: Rfam
GCCGGAGUGGUGGAAUUUGGUAGACACGCUACCUUGAGGUGGUAGUGGCGCAAGCCGUGUCGGUUCGAGUCCGACCUUCGGUA